This 80-nucleotide ribosomal RNA is filed under the name Pseudotaxiphyllum pohliicarpum. Its description in RNAcentral is "partial 26S ribosomal RNA". It matches the Rfam family "Eukaryotic large subunit ribosomal RNA", at positions 1 to 79 of the family's 3401-position model. The record is from RNAcentral. Lineage: Eukaryota; Viridiplantae; Streptophyta; Bryopsida; Hypnales; Plagiotheciaceae.
CAGACCUCUAAUCGGAAAAGACUACCCGCUGAGUUUAAGCAUAUCACUAAGCGGAGGAGAAGAAACUAACCAGGAUUCCC